CCUACGGGUGGCAGCAGUGGGGAAUAUUGCGCAAUGGGGGCAACCCUGACGCAGCAACGCCGCGUGAUUGAAGAAGGCCUUCGGGUUGUAAAGAUCUUUAAUCGGGGACGAAUUUUGACGGUACCCGAAGAAUAAGCUCCGGCUAACUACGUGCCAGCAGCCGCGGUAAUACGUAGGGAGCAAGCGUUAUCCGGAUUUACUGGGUGUAAAGGGCGGGUAGGCGGGCAUGCAAGCAAGAAGUGAAAUCUGGGGGCUUAACCCCCAAACUGCUUUUGGAACUGCGUGUGUUGAGGGAAGGAGAGGCGAGCGGAAGUUCCAGUGUAGCGGUGAAAAGCGUAGAUAUUGGGAGGAAAACCAGUGGGGAAGGGGGGCUGCGGGA
Molecule: ribosomal RNA, 379 nt
Filed under: uncultured bacterium
Lineage: Bacteria
Description: partial 16S ribosomal RNA
Rfam family: Bacterial small subunit ribosomal RNA
Source: RNAcentral